GGCCUAUUGGUUUUUUAAUAGGUUUGGCCUGCCCAGUGAUAAUUUUAACGGCCGCGGUAUAUUGACCGUGCAAAGGUAGCAUAAUCAUUAGUCUUUUAAUAGGAGGCUGGAAUGAAAGGUCUAACGAGAAAUUAACUGUCUCAAUUACAAAUUUGAAUUUAUCUUUUAAGUCAAAAGAAUUAAAUUUAAUUGGCGGACGAGAAGACCCUAUAGAGCUUAACAUUUAUUUUUCAUAUAUUUAUUUAGGUUAAUAUUAUUUAUUUAUAUUUAAAAAUUUGUUUUGUUGGGGUGACAAUAAAUAUAUACUUAACUUUUAUUAUAAUGUAAACAUUAAUUUAUGAUUUUUGGAUCCAAAAUUUUUGAUCAUUAGAUUAAGUUACC
Molecule: ribosomal RNA, 381 nt
Filed under: Pacificagrion lachrymosa
Lineage: Eukaryota; Metazoa; Arthropoda; Insecta; Odonata; Coenagrionidae
Description: partial large subunit ribosomal RNA
Source: RNAcentral